GACGAACGCUGGCGGCGUGCUUAACACAUGCAAGUCGAGCGGUAAGGCCCUUUCGGGGGUACGACGAGCGGCGAACGGGUGAGUAACACGUGGGUGACCUGCCCUCAGCUCUGGGAUAAGCCUGGGAAACCGGGUCUAAUACUGGAUAUGACUCCAUGACGCAUGUUGUGGGGUGGAAAGCCUUGUGCGGCUGAGGAUGGGCCCGCGGCCUAUCAGCUUGUUGGGUGGGGUGAGGCCUACCAAGGCGACGACGGGUAGCCGGCCUGAGAGGGCGACCGGCCACACUGGGACUGAGACACGGCCCAGACUCCUACGGGAGGCAGCAGUGGGGAAUCUUGCGCAAUGGGCGAAAGCCUGACGCAGCGACGCCGCGUGA
This 376-nucleotide ribosomal RNA is filed under the name uncultured bacterium. RNAcentral's name for it is "bacterial SSU rRNA". It matches the Rfam family "Bacterial small subunit ribosomal RNA", at positions 28 to 404 of the family's 1533-position model. The record is from RNAcentral.